UGUGGGACUUUUAAAGUUAUUUAGAUCUUGGGGAUGAAUAAGAAAGUAAGGUUUGAAGCUUAAUGAUGAUGUAUUUGUGUCAAACUGACAAGGGGUUUUGUGCAGGAUAUUUUUUGUGCAUGAUGUUUUGUGCAGGAAGAGAAACCCUGACUAAGACACACUGGCUACUAGGAACCCUGUUUCAAAGCAAAACAAAACUUAACAGAUGCAGAGGCACUCGUGCCUGGACUGGCAGAAGGUAAGCUACAGCUCGUUACUAUUAAGAAGCACACUAUGGGUGGAAAUUUAAGAUGCUAAAGAAACCUGAAACAGAGAACUGAAUGCCGAACUACAGGUAACAGCAUGUGUUAUAACCCCCGUUACCUGACAUAGCCUCCAACUCUGUACAGCACAGAGUCUGAGCGGCUCUAGUCUUGCUGGGUCCUUGGAAGCAUAUGUGUUCUUCCUUAGUAUGUUAUCUCUGUCUAUGAUAAAUUCUUCCUUUGGGGACCCAAGAACUCGAACCCUUUCUGGAAAUGUCCACAGAACCCCCAUAUCAGCCAAUAUCAAUAGGAAAUCUUUAGUUUCCGGUAAUUUGAGAAGAACCUGUAGAAGAGAAAGCCAGGAGGGAGCUACUAGUUCUAUGAACCACUCUAUCAUCCCCUGGCCCACCAGGGUUCUUUCGUAGGGCAGUCUAGAAGCAUGGCCGGCGGCGUGAGGCUAGAAAGGCUGGCAUCGCUUGCUCCUGGUUCCAUGGUAUCAUUCUGACCUAUAUUCAGGUGGUUCCUCCUGCUUUUCUUUUCUGGACACUGGAAAUGCGAGUCCGUGUGAAGAAGACUCAGAGGACAAGUGAGCCCCGAGCAUAAUCUGCUGUGUUGGAUUCCUUGGAACACCACCAGACGGUAGGAGGGGCUUCUGGAGCUCGCCCUAGAAUCAGCUGGUCAGUGGCUGUAAGUUUUCUUUAUGCGAGGGGGCGGGGUGGUGGUGGUGAACUGCAGGUUUCCUUACGGAGUGGUGGGGCGACUGGAAGGGAGGCGACACAAAGCUACUUUACUGGAUGAAGAAUGCUAAAAAUGUGUGUGAGGAAGCUGAGCGGAAGCUGAGCCUUGAGAGGUGGAAGCAUGCCCAAGGUAUGAUGGCAGGAACCUGGCCAGAGAGAGGAAGCGAAGCAGAAGCGGCAGGGAAUGUUGAGUCAUGGAUGAGCCACGGGUGAGCCUUGGGUGAGCCACGGGUGAGCCUUGGGUGAGCCUCCGGUGAGCCUCGGGUGAGCCACAGGUGAGUGUGACAAGACUUCUUGGGAGAGAGGCUUCAGUGAGCAGCUCCUCUAAUUGGUGGUGGUGGGGACAAUGACUAUUUAAACCUUUUUGGGGAGAUGGGAUGGGGUAGAGGGGUGAGUAGGGGCUAUGGGGUGAGUGUAUAUCCUUGGUUUGAGCAGGUACUGCGGAUGCCUCAUUUGCAUAACCAGGUGCUCGCUGCAUGUGACCUUAUAAGGAGAAAGGAAGUUCAACUUGUAACUUGGAGACCAGGUUAUAUGACUAAGGCCUCCAGAUUAAAGCCGAAACAGAAGUAAACCCGAAUCAGAACCCGAUAUGGACAAGACAAAAGACUACAGUGAGGCCGUACUUACAGAUGGGAAAAAAACCAGGGUCUCUGGUAAAUCCUGGAGGAGCCCACAAACGUAAGGGUCUAUGAUUCAUUGAAGAGCGACACCCCAACUCAAAUGCUGUGCAAAUGCAAAGAGUGUUUUAUUCUGCAGACGUCCAGCAUGCUGGGGUCUCCCAUUACCAAGACAGAGAGACACCCAAGUAAGCUUGCAGGCCUGGUUUAAAGCACAUUAGAGAAUUCCAGGGCAGGUGGCCUUUGCCUCACUCUAUCUCUAUGGACAUCCCGUUUCCUGAGUGUGGGGGCUGGCUAGAAACUGUGGACCCGUUGUCCUUGCCUCAAGCCAGGCGGUGGGGCAGUUUCUAAUGGCAGAGCAGUUUCUGACUGGCUGCCUGUAGCCUGGGUUUUUAAGCCCUUAUCUCUCGAACUGUCCAUUUGAAGUCUGUCAUGGAGUCAGCCUGUCUCAUCAGUUAUGUAAACCAUCCAGGAGAGUGAGCUCUCAAAGAGUGGUGACCAGGAGAAAGGAAUGGGAAUAUUGCCGUCCAUGUUUAAGUUUGGAGAGAUGAAAUCGUGCUAGAGGUAGAUGGCAGGGGUGACUGUGUAACAGGGAUGUACUCACUACCUCGAAGUGGAGAUGUGGUUGAAUGGUUCAGAUUUUACUGCAAUUAAAAAAUGUUAGAUGCUGGGGCUGGGGAUUUAGCUCAGCGGUAGAGCGCUUACCUAGGAAGCG
This 2311-nucleotide small RNA is filed under the name Rattus norvegicus (Norway rat). Its description in RNAcentral is "uncharacterized LOC102552091". Lineage: Eukaryota; Metazoa; Chordata; Mammalia; Rodentia; Muridae. The record is from RNAcentral.